This is a long non-coding RNA of Artibeus jamaicensis (Jamaican fruit-eating bat), 170 nucleotides long. RefSeq lists it as uncharacterized. NCBI's taxonomy places the organism in Eukaryota, Metazoa, Chordata, Mammalia, Chiroptera, Phyllostomidae. The transcript is spliced from 2 exons. The record is from RefSeq and is a predicted model, not a curated record.
UAGAGCUUUAGGCACACAAUGUAGCGCUGCUCGUCCUGUGCUGGGGGAGGCGUGUGGAGGGGACGGGUAGGCCAGCCCACCUGGACGCGCAGAUAUCUGAUCCAGGAACGGUUACUGAAGGGAUCAUCCUUUUCGCAUUGCACUUCAAUGAACCAUUUAUUAUAAACCAG